RNAcentral lists this small RNA (734 nucleotides) under Pongo abelii (Sumatran orangutan). RNAcentral describes it as "processed transcript". The record is from RNAcentral. Lineage: Eukaryota; Metazoa; Chordata; Mammalia; Primates; Hominidae.
GGCCCCCUCUGUGGGGGCACGAGCACGCCGCCGUCCUCGUCGUGAUGGCUCUGAGAGAUUCCUCUGCGAAUCUGUUUUUAGCUAUCAAGUGGCAUCCACGCUUAAACAGGUGAAACAUGAUCAGCAAGUUGCUCGGAUGGAAAAACUAGCUGGUUUGGUAGAAGAGCUGGAGGCUGACGAGUGGCGGUUUAAGCCCAUCGAGCAGCUGCUGGGAUUCACCCCCUCUUCGGGUUGAUGCUGCCUGGAUGGUCACCUCUGGUGUGCAGCUAGUGCAAAGCCAGUGGGGGACUUUCUCACAGCUUACAUAGCCAUCCAGAGAUCCACAGCUACAUCGCUGAAUUGUUAAUGCACAUUUGUACUUGGUUUCUCUGUAUCUAUUCACAGUCAACAAAUACUUAUAUGUGUGAUCUUUCAGGGAAUAUUUUGUUUAUUUGUUUUUAAAAGUAUUGGGAAUCAGAUUAAGACAGUCGGUUUCAGAGAACCAGGAGGUUUGGGGUUAAGAGAUACUUAAAAAUUUUCACAAGCCAGGUAGGGCAUAUAUCAGAUUUGGCCAACUGAAUGGCAUCUGUCCUGUCAUCCAUAUGGUGCCUGGAAAUAUUUACCAGUCAAGGUCAAGGUCAGCAUCUGUGGUUAAAAAUACAGCAUUCUGACCUAAAAAAGUUAUUUUGCAGAUGAAUGUGAUUUCACCUCAGGACCUAUCCAAAUGAGGAAUUUUUAAAUAUUCAUUUUUUUUU